This 87-nucleotide transfer RNA is filed under the name Colletotrichum trifolii. It matches the Rfam family "tRNA". From Rfam's summary of the family: Transfer RNA (tRNA) molecules are approximately 80 nucleotides in length. Their secondary structure includes four short double-helical elements and three loops (D, anti-codon, and T loops). Lineage: Eukaryota; Fungi; Ascomycota; Sordariomycetes; Glomerellales; Glomerellaceae. RNAcentral also lists the same sequence under 1 other name. The record is from Rfam by way of RNAcentral.
UCCGAUAUGGUGUAGUGGCCAACAUGAUGCCCUCUCAUUCUUGUGAGAGGUUAGGCAUAGCCCCGAGUUCGAUUCUCGGUUUCGGAA